RNAcentral lists this long non-coding RNA (1019 nucleotides) under Anas platyrhynchos platyrhynchos (common mallard). RNAcentral's name for it is "lncRNA (ENSAPLG00000027750.1)". Lineage: Eukaryota; Metazoa; Chordata; Aves; Anseriformes; Anatidae. The record is from RNAcentral.
CACAGAGCCUGCUCUCACCUGCCUGAGAGCACAACUGUAAGCUUGAGAUGACAGAGAAGGGAGUACAAACCUUGAGAAAUCAUUUGCACGCAGGGAGCAUGUGGGAGUGGGUCAGGAGAUGUUGCUUAUGUGGAUUUUUCUUUUAUCUGAUAGAAGAACCUGGAUCUCCCUGACCUCUGUCUUGGCUCUGCUUCUUGUGAUUAGCACUGUGGGAAACAUAGGCUUCUUUCUCAAGGCCAGAUCAGAGAGGCAACGUGAAAGUGAUGAUUAUCUCUAUCACCCCCUGAUGGAGAUGAAUGGAGAAGCCAGUCAUACCUCCACAUCUGCUGCCUGUGAGACAGAAGAUACUCAGGAAUAAAUUCAGACACUCUGUUAGAGUCCCAGAUGAGAAAAGAAGAGGAGCAGCGUGCUCUGCUCAGCUGCACGGCCCAGCCAGCAAGGUACCACAGCCUCAAGCUCUCACCUGUGGAAAAGAAGGAGGCAGCAGCCUGAGCAAGACACUCCUGAGCUGUGCACUGGGCUCACCCUACCCCAGCGCGUUCAGCGUGUGCUUUCCCACCACCAGGCUGCCCUCAGCCAGCGGUACAGUCCCUCCAGCAGCCUUGCUCCUGGCUGCCAGAACUGCCCGUCCCUCCUCAGAGGGGAUGGCAACCAUCAGGGGCUGGGGCUGCGACCGGUACUUCAAGCAACUCAAGAUCCUGAGCAUCUCAGCUGGAAACUGGAUGUUUUUAUUUGAACAUGUAAUUGCACACUGAAUUAAUAUGAGUUUGCUUCCAUGUGAGGGGAAACUAGCCUUUAACAUGCUACUUUAAUGCUGCAAAUUGGGUUUUUAAAGCCUGUCUGAGCCUGAAUGUUUUUAAGCACUCUAUUUUUAUCUCUUCAAGCAAAGAAUAUGUAAUUUUUGUGCCACUGCUGGCAUCAAAUCAACCUGUAAACUGAAGAUUCUAUUAUUUUUUUAUUUACAGAAGACAAUUUGCCACUUGAAUAAAGUCAAUUAGUAAUAAUUGCCUGAAAUGGGA